This 85-nucleotide transfer RNA is filed under the name Felis catus (domestic cat). It matches the Rfam family "tRNA". Rfam says of the family: Transfer RNA (tRNA) molecules are approximately 80 nucleotides in length. Their secondary structure includes four short double-helical elements and three loops (D, anti-codon, and T loops). RNAcentral also lists the same sequence under 3 other names. The record is from Rfam by way of RNAcentral. Lineage: Eukaryota; Metazoa; Chordata; Mammalia; Carnivora; Felidae.
GCCUGGGUGGCUCAGUCAGUUGAGCACCUGACUUCAGCUCAGGUCAUGAUCUCAUGGUUCGUGGGUUCGAGCCCCGCGUCGGGCU